This 443-nucleotide ribosomal RNA is filed under the name Theileria ovis. Its description in RNAcentral is "SSU rRNA". It matches the Rfam family "Eukaryotic small subunit ribosomal RNA", at positions 286 to 763 of the family's 1831-position model. Lineage: Eukaryota; Apicomplexa; Aconoidasida; Piroplasmida; Theileriidae. The record is from RNAcentral.
UGCAAUGCAUCAUUCAAGUUUCAGACCUAUCAACUGUGGACGGUAUGGUAUUGGCCUACCGGGGCAACGACAGGUAACGGGGAAUUAGGGUUCGAUUCCGGAGAGGGAGCCUGAGAAACGGCUACCACAUCUGAGGAAGGCAGCACGCGCGCAAAUUACCCAAUCCUGACACAGGGAGGUAGUGACAAGAAAUAACAAUACGGGGCUUAAUGUCUUGUAAUUGGAAUGAUGGGAAUUUAAACCUCUUCCAGAGUAUCAAUUGGAGGGCAAGUCUGGUGCCAGCAGCCGCGGUAAUUCCAGCUCCAAUAGCGUAUAUUAAAAUUGUUGCAGUUAAAAAGCUCGUAGUUGAAUUUCUGCUGCAUUGCUUUUGCUCCUUUACGAGUCUUUGCAUUGUGGCUUAUUUCGGACUUUGUUUUACAAUGUCCGGAUGUUUACUUUGAGAA